This is a non-coding RNA of Solanum lycopersicum (tomato), 866 nucleotides long. The record is from RefSeq and is a predicted model, not a curated record. NCBI's taxonomy places the organism in Eukaryota, Viridiplantae, Streptophyta, Magnoliopsida, Solanales, Solanaceae.
GUUACCAAUUAUAGCCCCAUAGUGCAAUUCGGCAUAUGGUUCUUCUCCAGUAAGAAGUUCCCACAGUACAAUUCCAAAGGAGAAUACGUCAACCUACAAACACGACCAGCAAAGUACGCGUCAACAAGCAGGGAUAAAGAGAGACAAGACUGCUGCUUCCAUUGAGAAGUUCUGGUGCCAUCCAGGGAAGAGUUCCUCGUACACCGCCUGAGAUAAGUGUUUGACAUUUCACUUUGGAUAGCCCCAAAUCGCCAACCUAAAACAAGGAGAAAUUUCCAGUCGGUACCAAAGUGAAACAGAUGAUAAUAUGGCCGGGAGCUUCUAAUAUUCUCAGUGGUGCUUUCGUGUUUGAAGGUGUUGUUAUGCACAAGGUAAGAGAUAACCUAAAAGCAACCAUGAGUAUGGAUUCUGAGGCGGGCAAGAACUGAAAGAUAGUUGUCACACGAACAACAAUAAAAAUGAUAACACUAAGGAUGAUAAUGAUGAUAAUAAUGCUACAAUGAUGAUGAUAUGACUAAUGCCAUAGAUGGUACCGAUGAAUUCAGUAUUGUCAAAGGCCCACUUAAGCCAUGAAGCGAGGCCCAAAACAUGUUGAGCGCUUCGCCUCGCUUAAUGUGUGCUUUAGUGUCAUCAUCAAGUUUCUAGAGCAUACUUUUCCUUCCCAAUUAACAUUCCUAAAGGGACUGCACAAAACAAUUCAAAUUUCACUUUAUCAUAAAAAUUUCAAUUGCGUUGCCCGUAUAUUUAUUAUUCGGCUUAUAAAUAUUAGUCUUGACCUAAACAUAUAGCUUUGUAAUUUUUCUCCCUUAAUGCCUUUCUUCACUAAAGCCCACAUUUUAUUUUUAUUAAAACCCACGUUUUAUUUG